AUGUGACGCGCGGGCGGAGUGCUCUCGGACCUCGGAGCGCACACAGCGGUGCAAGUGGGUGCCACUCCGAAUCCCCACGCUCAUUAUUUCUCCCCGGCGGUGACAGCGCUUCUGGAAAGACAGCGCGAUGAACCGAAGGACUGCCUGGGGCAUGGGCGCGCGGUCCUAAGACACUCGCUUCCUGAACACCAGGCGGGAGGCGACCAGCGAAAGGUGGACUGGGAGACCACCGUGCACCUGGGAGGCGCGGACCACCGGCGUGAGACAGCACCUGGGGCGCAGCGGCCAGAUCUGCACAGUGAUGGCACUUACUUCAGUUACGAGUUGCUCAGCGGACUGUGGAGUGACUGAACUAUACCCAUUCCCGUCAUGAUGCACACCCCUGAGGUUCCUCACCACACCUGUGUUCUGAUUAGAGGCAAAAUAAAUGACAUUCAAAACUUCCACUAAGGUACUAUAAGGUGAAAUGUUUCACAAGAAGAUACACUUAAAACAUCACUAAUUAUUGGAAAAAUGCAAAUCAAAACUACAGUGAAGUACCAUUGUACCUCAGAAUGGACAUCAUCACUUUUGUGGUGAGAUGGCAUCUGGUUUCUUUCUACAAGGAAAGUUUAGCACACAGCACAGUCCUUGAAACAUUGGAUUGGUUUGAUGAGCCUACCUGGAAUAGGUAUGUAAAACCUCCAGCAUAUGCUUCAUCUCUUUGAGUCAUAUCUGUGGAUGUGUAUCCACUUCUGCUUUUCUUGUUGUUAACUUAGAGUGGAGUUUGUUCUGAAGAGUAAAAUUCAUGUGUCGAAGGUGACUAUGUGUUUACAGUAUGAUCUACAAGACUCCUUCAUUUUCUUUGUAAUGUGAUAAAUACAUAUUAAGAGCAUUCAUUCCAGGAGAGAAGGGAAAUCCCAUGCUCGUAUGGUUCUGAAAAUAAUAAGAUUUAAUCUACAACUUGUGAAACUCAAGUGUGUAAAAUAUGAUGAUUCCCUGGCAUGUUUAUAAGAACGGCAUCUGUGGCUCAAAAGUCUAACAGGAAGAUAGAAACUUCUUUUUUUUUUUUCCAAAAUUAAUCCAGGCUUAGGAAAAACUGAGUACCAAAUUAUGAAAUGACUGCACAUGGGAAUUAAUUAAUGAUUCUUUGAUCUCUUAGGUUGUAGGAUAAGUACUCCCUUGGUGUAUCAUAUGACAUAAAAAAAUACGGUAUUUGACAGUUUUAUUAAUGAAUUCUCUUGAAGGAAAUAUUCUGAAAUUAGAUUCUCAUAAGAUAUAAGUCAUGUAGCUCCUGAUUUAACUCAGUUCAGACUCUUUGAUGAGUGCUGUGUGUGUGGUUGUGGGUGUGGGGGGGGAUGGGUGUGUUAUCACUAAGGGAUACUUUAUUAUUUGACUCAUUGCUUUGUUGUAUUCAACUUUUGAAAUAUUAUUGGGAAUAUGGUAGGCUCGUUGAAAUUCUGGUAUGUAUUUAGAGAAGUGUCUGAUCUAUAUAAAUUGUAUUUUCAAAAGCAAGACUCUAUGUAACAACUCCCCUGUCCACCCCCUCCCCUCAAAAAUGUCUACUGAAAACCACAUUUGGUAAGUGGCACAGACAGACUUGAGACUUAAUCAGAUAUAAAACCUAGCUUUACUCCUUAACCUAUGACCUUGAAAAAAAAAUGUUAUGCUUCCUUAGAAAGAGGUGGGGAGGGAGAGGAUGGAAGAAGGGAAAAAAAAUAAAUCCACAAUUACAAUGCACCAAAUUUACCAGGUCACCUUUCUUAUUAAUGAGGUAUCAAGGAAUUAAUGGAUAUGUUUCUAAGAGUCUCCAGAGAAUUUCAUUCCUACAUUCUGUGAGAGUCUGAAAUCCAUAAUUAGAGUUUAACCUCCCUGAUUUAAGGUCGAAGUUGCAACUGGUCACCUGCACAUUACAGCUAUCUUAGGUUUUUAUUUUACAGGGGUUGGUUUUUUCCUUUUUGGGUUUUUUUUGGCCUGUACAAAUUAAUACACAUGUGAUAUAAAAAAAUUGCCAAAUCAAAAAACUCAAGAGACUUCACAUAAAUCUUGGCUUUCUUUCUCUGCAAAUGGCACUACAGUUAAAGUAAUUGCUGGUGCCAAAAUUCUAGUUGUCAUACAAAUUUCCUCCAUCUUGGAGUUCCCUUUGUGGGUCAGUGGGUUAAGGUUCUGGUGUUGCCACUGCUUCGGCUCUGGUUACAGCUGUGGCCAGGUUCCGCCCCUGGCCUGGGAACUUCCGCAUUCCUGGAACUUUUGGGUGUGCCCCACGCAAAAAAAUUACUUACCUCUUCUUAACUUCUCUACAUCUAACCCAUCAAUUUCUCCAAAGCCUUGAUCCAACCUAGUGGUUCUCAACCUCAAUAUGAAAAGAUGAUUAUCUGGUUGCUCAGGUUGCACCUAGAAAAUUAAGUCAACAGUACUGAGAGUGGAGCUGGGCUUCAGAAUUUUAGAAAGCUCUUCAGAUGAUUCUGAUGUGCAGCCAAGGCGAGAACCACUGCUCUACUAUCUUUUUCUUAGCUAUUAGAUGCGUCAAAUGCCACCCCCUGCCAAGUGCAAGUUAAAUUCACCACUUUCUAAUAUUAUCAGUCUUCUACCAUUGUCCCUAUGUCACCGCAUCAUUUCUAUUCUAGUCCCUGUUCAAUCCUAUCUCCACCCAACAGCCAGAGAAACUGUUAUGAAUAGAAACUUGUGGGUUCAAUGCCUGCGUAAACUCUUCAAUAAUAGUAGCAGUAAUGGUAACAACUGGUGAUCAUUGAUACCUUGGUUGAGUAAAGAACCCAAGUUCAGGUUUUAUAGAACCCAAGUUCAGGUUCAAGUCAUGGUGGCAUUAGGUUUCAGGAACAGAUGGAGGAAAGGGCACAAAGGAGGUGACUGCAGAUACCAAGGAAAGUUUAUUCCAUUUCCACAUGGGUCCUGUAGCCUAAUCUGACAAUACCUUCUCCUUGCCUGCUCCUCCAGGCAGUGACCCAUAGGCUAAAAGUUUUACUGACUUCUCCUACAAGUUGCUGCCCAAGCAGUGUCCUGAUGUCAUACUGCCAUCAGGAGCAAAGGGAUUUAAUAGUUUGGCAGUGACAUUAUUAUAAGAUUCAUGUUACAGCACAGCUACCAAUGUGUUUUAAAUGUCACUCCUUCAUAGUUGCAUGAUUCACCCAGCAAAAUAAGUUGAUACUGGUAAAUUUUUAGGCGGGAUAACCAAACUAUGGAUGUGUGUUUGACGUUGGUAGUUAGACCUGGGAUCAUUUCUCCUUCCUCUCAGACAUAGAGUUUUUCCUUUUCAACAAUGAAUAACGUAUAUCAGGUUAUUUCUUUGAGCCGAAGUGGAGGGAUUUUCUUCUCAUGAUAACUGUAUAGUGACUAUGUAGACCAUAGAGGUAGAUACUGAAGUCUUUCCUUUUAGACUUCAGCCACCCCAUAACUGGAGAGAGUGCACGUGCCAUCGGAAGGGAGGAAGAUAAGAUAUCAUCAGAAAGUUUUCAUUAAGGACACCCUCUGACACACUGUGAUGUUAUUUUAUUCAGAGUUUAAAAAUAAAUCACUAAAUACAAACUGCUUUGAAGCUGAGUAGAAACUUUGCGUCCUUGUCGGCACCCCUUGUGCGCGGCCUAAUCAGCUUUAAUUUCACAGUGGUGACAAUUUUUUUCUUUUUAUAAUAAUUAAUUGUUCUUUUUUUCAUUUUUUAAAGUUGUAUUGAAGUAUCGUUGAUCAAUAAGGUUGUGAUCAUUUCUGCUGUACAACAAAGUGAUUCAGUGAUGCAUGUACACACAUCCAUUCUUUUUUCAGAUUCUUUUCCCAUGUGGAUUAUCACAGACUAUUGGGUAGAGUUCCCUGUGCUCUAUAACGUGUCCCUGUUGGCCAGUCAUUCCAUAUGCCUCAGUGUGCAUAUACCAAUCCCAAACCAAUAUAAAACCUUUGGUGUUUCACUACUGACAUUGUGAAAAGCUCAAGGAGCUGUGUUAAGACAAAAAUGUGCCUCAGAUGUUCAGGUAAUGGAAACUAAUAAAGAUGUUGUAAACUCAGUUACCUAGGUAUUGAAUUAAUGCUUCAGGCAUAGCUCUCUCCUUUACCUAAGUGGGUCUGUUUACCCAAAUAAUUUGUCUGCGCAGAGCCAUCCUACACUUAAGGAGACAGUUGAUGUUUUCAGCUCUCUCUGGAGUAUUUAUCCUGGGGGACAAAUGGAGAACAAAAUACAUGGAGAGGCCAGGCACACAUACACUGGGCAUCCUGGACCCAGUACAGGAUAGUGCUUAUUAAUGAGAUGCCUUUGUAUUUCCUUUGGGGACCAGGAUGGCUUGGCCUUGUGUACAAUUCUUCUCUGUGGUGAAUAGAGUUAUAAAAAGACCACAGAUUCUUUUCAUGCCAUUUUAGGAAUUUCUUUGAAAGGAUUCAAGCAGUGAAGCACAUUAUGUUUUAAGGUUCUGCAUUAGUAUAGGCAAAGCUUUUCCAAUAAGAUAAAGCCAUUUUUCUAAAUUCUUUAUGUCACUGAGUGCCCAGAAUCUGGACAGAGGGAAAUUAAAAUCUCUCUGAAAUCCACCAUAUUGCCACCACCAUAUGAAAUAGCUAUUGAGAGGGAAACUAAUAGUGUCUUAAAUGAACCUUGGGUUAAACAUACAUCCCUUUGCAUUUUCCAGUAUUGUUUUUCACUUACCUUUAACUCCUUUUCAAUCAGAAAAGUUCCCUAAGUUGAUUAGGAUUCAUUUUUAAAAAUCUAAUAUAAAAACGAGUACAUUUUUAUUAGAGGGAAGGCACGAUACAGAUGCUGAGUUGAUUGUGAGGAUUUGUAUUACGUUAUAUUAAUGAAUCAAAUGGCUCCCCAAAUAUACAUGUUUGUCAUAGGGAUUUACUGUUCUAUCAGACUUUUUCUUAUUCCCGUCAUUACUCUAGCACUUUGUGUUGACUUUUGAGAGUGAACAUUUUGGAACAAAAGAUAUAUUCUUCUAGGAUCCUCCAUGCUUGGACCACAUCAGACCUGAGUAAAUAUUUGUGAGAUGAAUGAUGAAUAAUUCAAAUGCAUUUUAAUUUUAGACACAAGCAGAUGAAAUUAUACCAAAGCUAGGAACUGAUUUAGCUGCUGAACUAGAUAUAUAAAAUAAUGAUCAAUAAAAAUGGUAAUUCCUCAGAUCAGAGACUAUGUCUGGUGUGCUCUGUUGCAAGCAGAGAGAUGGGCAUCAUUUUUAAAGGAUUUGGACAAAGUCAUAGGCCAGCAAAUCUAAUAUUUUGGUGAGCAGCUCAUCCUGAUUUCAUUAAGGCCUGGCUGUUCACUUCCCUCUUCUCCACCAGUGUUUUCAUCUUUAAAUUUUUUUUCUGCCAUAUUAGGGGGUGUUCUAGUCUAAAGACUCCUGAUUGAAGUGCCUUAUCUUUAAAAACUUUGCUAAGGGCAUGUGGGACAUUAAGAGGUAAAAUGCUACUGUGGCUCUGUAAGUAAUAGUCUUUUCAGAAACAGCUGCACUUGUGAAUAACUGAAUAAAGUCUAAUGUUGUCCAAGCAGGUUAUAUGCUACCCAAGUAAACCUCUAGGAAGUACUUGAGUUGUUUCUGUGCCCCCUUCUACUCAUCUGUUAAAUCUCUGACUUUUCUUGGCAAAGCUCAAACCCAAUUAAAGUCCAUAUGCUUUACAGUGCUUCACAUCUGCAUUUUAGAAAAAGAGCAGAUGACCCACAUGGAUGUUGGGUCUUAUCAGCCAACAGUAAUAUAAGCCUUUCAUACAUAAAAUUCUUUUUCUCAGCAGUUGUGAAAUUUCACUUUGAAAUUAGUUUUCAUUCUUAGUAUAACAACAUACUAUGUCUCAAGGAAUAAGUGAUUUCAUAUAUUUAGGAGCCCUAAACUAUAUUCCCAUAUUGGAGAGAGAUUUAAAGCAAAUUGGUUUAUUUCAUCUGAAUAGUAAUAAUAUAAUCAAUGAUAGCUGUGAAAUUAGGAACUUCCCCAUGUUUAACUUAGCCAUCUUAAUGUUCAAAUAUAUUUUUCUUUACAUUAUUAAUUUUUUCUUCCUUUCAACAUUUCCAUCCUCUACUGUUUACUUGUCUUUACUGAUAUGUCUUACUCUGGUUAAAAAAAAAAUACUCUACAUAGGUUAUAACAAGAAUAAAACAAUAAUUUUAAAUGGAAUAGAAAAUUAAAGCGGGACAAAUAUAAAUAAAACUGUAGAAUAAGAGAGAAAUAAGUAUCAGUCACAAUUAGGCAAAUCCUAAAGACCAGCCUUUGCUGCUGUUGAUCAUCAGACUUUAAGUUUGCUCGGGGAUAAUGCAAAAUUUUUGUGAGGCAGUUCUUUUGUCUGAAAAAAAAAAAAAGAUUUGCCUAACAUUAAAAUACUCCUUCUGUAAGAAAAGAAAUUAGGAGUUCCCAUCAUGGCUCAGUGGUUAACAAAUCGACUAGGAACCAUGAGGUUGCCGUUGCGGGUUCGAUCCCUGGACUCGCUCAGUGGGUUGAGGAUCCGGCGUUGCCGUGAGCUGUGGUAUAGGUCGCAGAUGCAGCUCGGAUCCCGAGUUGCUGUGGCUCUGGCAUAGGCCAGUGGCUACAGCUCCAAUUAGGCCCCUAGCCUGGGAACCUCCAUGUGCCACAGGAGCGGCCCUGG
This 6543-nucleotide long non-coding RNA is filed under the name Sus scrofa (pig). RNAcentral's name for it is "lncRNA (ENSSSCG00000050944.2)". Lineage: Eukaryota; Metazoa; Chordata; Mammalia; Artiodactyla; Suidae. The record is from RNAcentral.